UUGGGCUUUUGGGUUGAUUGACUAGUGUUUAGAACAUAGAAGCUGAACCCACGAAAUAGGACUAAACGAAAGCAAUGUUUAUCUCUUAACCGGAAAUCAAAAUCUAGACAAAUGAAACCGGGAAACAAACCACUAUGUUACCCUAACCGGAUAUUAACCAAGAAUGUUGAGCUUGUUUUCUAUCUCUUAUCCCUUUGAUUUCUCGU
Long non-coding RNA from Arabidopsis thaliana (thale cress), 206 nucleotides. RefSeq annotates it as other RNA. The record is from RefSeq. The transcript has a single exon. Lineage: Eukaryota; Viridiplantae; Streptophyta; Magnoliopsida; Brassicales; Brassicaceae.